Molecule: long non-coding RNA, 201 nt
Filed under: Elaeis guineensis (African oil palm)
Lineage: Eukaryota; Viridiplantae; Streptophyta; Magnoliopsida; Arecales; Arecaceae
Description: long non-coding RNA (EGUI_LNC031182)
Source: RNAcentral
AGCCGAUAGCAUAGAAACUAUUUCUUAUAUUAAUCAAAGUUACCAUCUAGCAAUAAUUCUUAAUAUCUGGAUAGGUCGAAUGUUUGCAAGGCAACACUCAAGAACCUAGGAAUAUGGUUACUGUAUAAUUCAUCUCUUUGAUCUUGAAUGCUCAGGAUGACCUAGAGUUUAACUGUCAACCCUGAAUUAGUCAUCCAUAUU